AUACGGAGGGUCCGAGCGUUAUCCGGAAUCAUUGGGUUUAAAGGGUCCGUAGGCGGGAAUCUAAGUCAGUGGUGAAAUCUUGCGGCUCAACUGUAAAAUUGCCAUUGAUACUGGAUUUCUUGAAUUAGUGUGAAGUGGUUAGAAUGUGUAGUGUAGCGGUGAAAUGCAUAGAUAGUACACAGAAUACCAAUUGCGAAGGCAGAUCACUAACACUAUAUUGACGCUGAGGGACGAAAGCGUGGGGAGCGAACAGGAUUAGAAACCCCAGUAGUCC
This 274-nucleotide ribosomal RNA is filed under the name uncultured bacterium. RNAcentral describes it as "partial 16S ribosomal RNA". It matches the Rfam family "Bacterial small subunit ribosomal RNA", at positions 523 to 796 of the family's 1533-position model. The record is from RNAcentral.